GAUAAACGCUAGCGGCAGGCUUAACACAUGCAAGUCGAGGGGCAGCAUAGAUUGUAGCAAUACAAUUGGUGGCGACCGGCGCACGGGUGCGUAACGCGUAUGCAACGUACCCGUCACAGGGGGAUAAUCCGGAGAAAUCUGGUCUAAUACCCCAUAACAUAUGGAUCGGCAUCGGUUCAUGGUGAACUUUUCGGAGGUGACGGAUGGGCAUGCGUAGCAUUAGCUUGUUGGUGAGGUAACGGCUCACCAAGGCGACGAUGCUUAGGGGGACUGAGAGGUUUUCCCCCCACACUGGUACUGAGACACGGACCAGACUCCUACGGGAGGCAGCAGUGAGGAAUAUUGGUCAAUGGGCGCAAGCCUGAACCAGCCAUGCCGCGUGCAGGAUGACGGCUCUAUGAGUUGUAAACUGCUUUUGUACGAGGGUAAAGUGGGUUACGUGUAACCUUUUGAAAGUAUCGUACGAAUAAGGAUCGGCUAACUCCUUGCCAGCCGCCGCAGUAA
This 504-nucleotide ribosomal RNA is filed under the name uncultured bacterium. RNAcentral's name for it is "partial 16S ribosomal RNA". It matches the Rfam family "Bacterial small subunit ribosomal RNA", at positions 28 to 523 of the family's 1533-position model. The record is from RNAcentral.